Molecule: ribosomal RNA, 484 nt
Filed under: uncultured bacterium
Lineage: Bacteria
Description: partial 16S ribosomal RNA
Rfam family: Bacterial small subunit ribosomal RNA
Source: RNAcentral
AUUGAACGCUGGCGGCAGGCCUAACACAUGCCAGUCGAGCGGAUGAAGGGAGCUUGCUCCUGGAUUCAGCGGCGGACGGGUGAGUAAUGCCUAUGAAUCUGCCUGGCAGUGGGGGAUAACGUCCGGAAACGGGCGCUAAUACCGCAUACGUCCUGAGGGUGAAAGUGGGGGAUCUUCGGACCUCACGCUAUCAGAUGAGCCUAGGUCGGAUUAGCUAGUUGGUGGGGUAAAGGCCUACCAAGGCGACGAUCCGUAACUGGUCUGAGAGGAGGAUCAGUCACACUGGAACUGGGACACGGUCCAGACUCCUACGGGAGGCAGCAGUGGGGAAUAUUGGACAAUGGGCGAAAGCCUGAUCCAGCCAUGCCGCGUGUGUGAAGAAGGUCUUCGGAUUGUAAAGCACUUUAAGUUGGGAGGAAGGGCAGUAAGUUAAUACCUUGCUGUUUUGACGUUACCAACAGAAUAAGCACCGGCUAACUUCGUG